Molecule: long non-coding RNA, 721 nt
Filed under: Astyanax mexicanus (Mexican tetra)
Lineage: Eukaryota; Metazoa; Chordata; Actinopteri; Characiformes; Acestrorhamphidae
Description: lncRNA (ENSAMXG00005007591.1)
Source: RNAcentral
CUCUCCCAGAGCACGCCACACCCGCGUCUCAUCCGGCAGCACGCCCUUCCUCUCACGUCUACCUACCCGCGCCCCCCCUUGAGGACCCCUUAGGUGUUCCUUAUAUUGCCAGUAUUUUUCAACACGUGUUCACUCAUCUCCCCGCCCCCUCAGUUCACUACAAUAUUAUAUAAAAACAUUUGGUACUAUUGGCAGUGUGGGCAGUGUGCCAAGUCCUGUGGAUACAAAGAUACAUACAUUUCUGACUAUAUGUUCACUAAUGAAGCAAAUGUGCGGUUACUAAGAAGACCCCCGGACAGCUCCAAUGAGAACUCCAGAAUCUGCAGCUGCCACUUCAUGGGAGGAGUGAAGUCUGCUGGGCCAAGUCUCUUCAGCUGGGACCGAGAAAGGGUUUCUUACCUCCAGGCUUCAGAUAAUGGAGUAAAGGAAGAACCUGAGGAGAAGGAUAUUGUGAGGCCACAGGGAGGUCCUGGAAGGCCCACUAAUAACUUAUCCCUGCUGAUAGCUACAUUGGACACUCCUGAAGGAGACGAGGCGGUGGAGGAGACCAGAGUGCACUUUAAAAAGGAGGAGAUGGAAUCUGCUGACUGUUUCUCUAAAACUGUUUUGUUAGGAAAUAUGAGAGACUGGUAAAAACAGUGUGGGCGUGUGUGUGUCUGUCUGUGUGUGAGAGAGAGACAAUGUAAAUAAAUAUGCUGUAAUAUAAGCUUUCUUAAUAAUG